Molecule: ribosomal RNA, 475 nt
Filed under: uncultured bacterium
Lineage: Bacteria
Description: bacterial SSU rRNA
Rfam family: Bacterial small subunit ribosomal RNA
Source: RNAcentral
ACUCCUACGGGAGGCAGCAGUAGGGAAUCUUCCACAAUGGACGAAAGUCUGAUGGAGCAACGCCGCGUGAGUGAAGAAGGGUUUCGGCUCGUAAAAACUCUGUUGUUAAAAGAAGAACAUAUCUGAGAGUAACUGUUCAGGUAUUGACGGUAUUUAACCAGAAAGCCACGGCUAACUACGUGCCAGCAGCCGCGGUAAUACGUAGGUGGCAAGCGUUGUCCGGAUUUAUUGGGGCGUAAAGCGAGCGCAGGCGGUUUUUAAGUCUGAUGUGAAAGCCUUCGGCUCAACCGAAGAAGUGCAUCGGAAACUGGGAAACUUGAGUGCAGAAGAGGACAGUGGAACUCCAUGUGUAGCGGUGAAAUGCGUAGAUAUAUGGAAGAACACCAGUGGCGAAGGCGGCUGUCUGGUCUGGUAACUGACGCUGAGGCUCGAAAGUAUGGGUAGCAAACAGGAUUAGGAUACCCUGGUAGGAUAG